Long non-coding RNA from Girardinichthys multiradiatus, 628 nucleotides. RefSeq lists it as uncharacterized. The record is from RefSeq and is a predicted model, not a curated record. The transcript has 2 exons. NCBI's taxonomy places the organism in Eukaryota, Metazoa, Chordata, Actinopteri, Cyprinodontiformes, Goodeidae.
UGGCAGCAGAAUAAAAGAAACGUGGCGUAUACCUGAAGCUGCGGUCUUUAUUUAUAAAAGAACUCAACAUAGUGUCAGAAGUUGGCGUGCUUGGAGGUUGGAAACAUCAACUUUGCAACCGGCUAGCCACUACGGAUGACCAAGCACAAGCAACACGGCUUCAGCACCAGGGACGGUGGUGGACCAGUCAUGCCUACAAUUCUGGUUUCCUUCUGGAAGGCUUCCAGGCAUCCUCCUCUCAGAGACGAUACCAGAUAACCUGGCUAAAGACCUCUCUCAACAACACUCCCACAGAUCUCAGGCUCCAUAACCGACAACCAUAAGGCUCCCUCAUGGGCUCUGCUUCAGCAACUCCUGUCCGCCCUCCGUUGAACCAAUCGUGGAAACUAAGCACUCCACACGGACCUGCUCGGACCCUGCCUAUCUCCCCCUAGCUCUUAUUACUCCUCCAUUAUGAGUAAGACUGACUCUCUAUUCAACAGACUUCCUCCUAGACUGUCAUUGUUUGCUGUGCUCACUGGUCUCCUCCUUGUAUUUCCUUCAGUGACUCACCCCCUCCUGAGCCAGUGGGCAUUUUCCAGACCACAUACUGCUUUGUUCUUGUUUUCAAUAAACCGUUAAGCUUUUA